ACGGAAGGCAGCAGUGGGGGAUAUUGCACAAUGGGGGAAACCCUGAUGCAGCGACGCCGCGUGAGCGAAGAAGUAUUUCGGUAUGUAAAGCUCUAUCAGCAGGGAAGAAAAUGACGGUACCUGACUAAGAAGCUCCGGCUAAAUACGUGCCAGCAGCCGCGGUAAUAUGUAUGGAGCAAGCGUUAUCCGGAUUUACUGGGUGUAAAGGGAGCGUAGACGGUUUGCCAAGUCUGAUGUGAAAGGUGGGGGCUCAACCCCCAAACUGCAUUGGAAACUGGUAGACUAGAGUGUCGGAGAGGUAAGUGGAAUUCCUAGUGUAGCGGUGAAAUGCGUAGAUAUUAGGAGGAACACCAGUGGCGAAGGCGGCUUACUGGACGAUAACUGACGUUGAGGCUCGAAAGCGUGGGGAGCAAACAGGAUUAGAUACCCUGGUA
RNAcentral lists this ribosomal RNA (434 nucleotides) under uncultured Lachnospiraceae bacterium. RNAcentral's name for it is "partial 16S ribosomal RNA". It matches the Rfam family "Bacterial small subunit ribosomal RNA", at positions 341 to 792 of the family's 1533-position model. The record is from RNAcentral. Lineage: Bacteria; Bacillati; Bacillota; Clostridia; Lachnospirales; Lachnospiraceae.